RNAcentral lists this ribosomal RNA (636 nucleotides) under uncultured bacterium. RNAcentral describes it as "partial 16S ribosomal RNA". It matches the Rfam family "Bacterial small subunit ribosomal RNA", at positions 66 to 736 of the family's 1533-position model. The record is from RNAcentral.
ACGAGAAAUCACCUUCGGGUGAGAGUAGAGUGGCGCACGGGUGAGUAACACGUGGGAACCUACCCUUCAGUGGGGAAUAACCAGGGGAAACUUUGGCUAAUACCGCAUACGCCCUUCGGGGGAAAGCUUUAUGCGCUGAAGGAUGGGCCCGCGUCAGAUUAGCUUGUUGGUAGGGUAAUGGCCUACCAAGGCUCCGAUCUGUAGCUGGUUUGAGAGGACGAUCAGCCACACUGGGACUGAGACACGGCCCAGACUCCUACGGGAGGCAGCAGCUAGGAAUAUUGGACAAUGGGGGAAACCCUGAUCCAGCCAUGCCGCGUGAGUGAAGAAGGCUCUAGGGUUGUAAAGCUCUUUCAGUGGUGAAGAUGAUGACUGUAGCCACAGAAGAAGCCCCGGCUAACUUCGUGCCAGCAGCCGCGGUAAUACGAAGGGGGCUAGCGUUGUUCGGAUUUACUGGGCGUAAAGAGCUCGUAGGCGGCUCAUUAAGUGAGAGGUGAAAUCCCGAGGCUCAACCUCGGAACUGCCUUUCAUACUGGUGAGCUGGAGUAUGAUAGAGGGUAGUGGAAUUUCCAGUGUAGGGGUGAAAUCCGUAGAUAUUGGAAGGAACACCAGUGGCGAAAGCGACUACCUGGAUCA